CGGGAUGAACGCUAGCGACCAGGCUAACACAUGCAAGUCGAGGGGCAGCAGUAAAAGUAGCAAUACGUUGGUGGCGACCGGCGCACGGGUGAGUAACGCGUAUGCAACCUACCUAUCAGAGGGGAAUAACCCGGCGAAAGUCGGACUGAUACCGCAUAAAACAGGGGCACCGCAUGGUGAUAUUUGUUAAAGAAAUUCGCUGAUAGAUGGGCAUGCGUUCCAUUAGGUAGUUGGUGAGGUAACGGCUCACCAAGCCGACGAUGGAUAGGGAACUGAGAGGUUGGUCCCCACACUGGUACUGAGACACGGACCAGACUCCUACGGGAGGCAGCAGUGAGGAAUAUUGGUCAAUGGGCGGGAGCCUGAACCAGCCAAGUCGCGUGAAAGGAAGAAGGAUCUAUGGUUCGUAAACUUCUUUGCAGGGAAUAAAGUGCAGGACGUGUCCUGUUUUGUAUGUACCCUGAGAAUAAGGAUCGGCUAACUCCGUGCCAGCCGCUGC
RNAcentral lists this ribosomal RNA (499 nucleotides) under uncultured bacterium. RNAcentral's name for it is "bacterial SSU rRNA". It matches the Rfam family "Bacterial small subunit ribosomal RNA", at positions 25 to 518 of the family's 1533-position model. The record is from RNAcentral.